This 490-nucleotide ribosomal RNA is filed under the name uncultured bacterium. RNAcentral describes it as "bacterial SSU rRNA". It matches the Rfam family "Bacterial small subunit ribosomal RNA", at positions 8 to 518 of the family's 1533-position model. The record is from RNAcentral.
AGAGUUUGAUCCUGGCUUAGGACGAACGCUGGCGGCAUGCCUAACACAUGCAAGUCGAACGGGGGUAGCAAUACCCUAGUGGCGAACGGGUGAGUAACACAUAAGCAAUCUGCCCUUCACAGGGGGAUAACAGCGGGAAACUGCUGCUAAUACCGCAUAAGACCACGGUACCGCAUGGUACAGGGGUAAAAACGAAUCAGUGGUGAAGGAUGAGCUUAUGUCCCAUUAGCUAGUUGGUGAGAUAACAGCCCACCAAGGCGACGAUGGGUAGCCGACCUGAGAGGGUGAUCGGCCACACUGGAACUGAGACACGGUCCAGACUCCUACGGGAGGCAGCAGUGGGGAAUAUUGGGCAAUGGAGGAAAAACCUCUUACCCAGCAAUGCCGCGUGAGUGAAGAAGGUCUUCGGAUUGUAAAGCUCUUUGAUUGGGGACGAAGAAAGUGACGGUACCCAAGAACAAGCCCCGGCUAACUACGUGCCAGCCGCAGC